Molecule: long non-coding RNA, 647 nt
Organism: Drosophila sechellia
Lineage: Eukaryota; Metazoa; Arthropoda; Insecta; Diptera; Drosophilidae
Exons: 3
Source: RefSeq, a predicted model, not a curated record
GUUGGGAGACAGAAUAAAGAUAAGGCAUUUCGUGUGCGGCGAACGUGAUUGCCACAGUGGGACUAAAACUCGAAUUUUAUGACCACUAAAUCCGCUGGGAGAUAAGCCCAGGGGGUUCCUACGACAUGAUUGGCAAAUUUGACAGAUUGCCUUUGUUUAGGCAGGGGAUAUGUAUGUAUGUAUAUGUAUAUAUGAAUCAUGCACUAAAAUAUAAACAUAUCGUCAAAAACUGUCGCCUACUUUAAAGGCCUGCUUUUAAAGGGAAGUUUUUAUAAGUUUGAAAUGGAUUCUGAGGCACAAUCGCAAAAUACCCGAUUGGCUCCACUGUGCAGCCGACAUUUGGGGCUUGAUGACUAGACAACAUGUACUCGCACUCGCACACUCACGGCACUUACAAAACCACGAGCAGCGUUGUUGUUGCCAGAUAUUCAUAAAUGAGUUGCGUGUGAAUUAAAUAUGUAUAUUUAUAAGCAUUUAUUUGCCAAGCCGAUACCAAUAUGGUUGUGGUUAACUUUAAGUGCACCAUAUGAUUCUCAAGUUCGAAUUUCAACUCUGGAGAGUUACCGUUACAGUGUCGGGCUACAAACAAUAAAACAUGAAACCGAAAAAAAACAAUAAGAAAAUAUAUGUGCAUAUAAGUUAACAAC